RNAcentral lists this ribosomal RNA (543 nucleotides) under Salmonella enterica. Its description in RNAcentral is "partial 23S ribosomal RNA". It matches the Rfam family "Bacterial large subunit ribosomal RNA", at positions 1 to 583 of the family's 2925-position model. RNAcentral also lists the same sequence under 5 other names. The record is from RNAcentral. Lineage: Bacteria; Pseudomonadati; Pseudomonadota; Gammaproteobacteria; Enterobacterales; Enterobacteriaceae.
GGUUAAGCGACUAAGCGUACACGGUGGAUGCCCUGGCAGUCAGAGGCGAUGAAGGGCGUGCUAAUCUGCGAUAAGCGCCGGUAAGGUGAUAUGAACCGUUAUAACCGGCGAUACCCGAAUGGGGAAACCCAGUGUGACUCGUCACACUAUCAUUAACUGAAUCCAUAGGUUAAUGAGGCGAACCGGGGGAACUGAAACAUCUAAGUACCCCGAGGAAAAGAAAUCAACCGAGAUUCCCCCAGUAGCGGCGAGCGAACGGGGAGGAGCCCAGAGCCUGAAUCAGCAUGUGUGUUAGUGGAAGCGUCUGGAAAGGCGCGCGAUACAGGGUGACAGCCCCGUACACAAAAGCGCAUGUGCUGUGAGCUCGAUGAGUAGGGCGGGACACGUGGUAUCCUGUCUGAAUAUGGGGGGACCAUCCUCCAAGGCUAAAUACUCCUGACUGACCGAUAGUGAACCAGUACCGUGAGGGAAAGGCGAAAAGAACCCCGGCGAGGGGAGUGAAAAAGAACCUGAAACCGUGUACGUACAAGCAGUGGGAGCACA